CCUACGUGGUGCAGCAGUGGGGGAUAUUGCACAAUGGGGGGAACCCUGAUGCAGCGACGCCGCGUGGGUGAAGAAGCGCCUCGGCGCGUAAAGCCCUGUCAGCAGGGAAGAAAAUGACGGUACCUGAAGAAGAAGCCCCGGCUACCUACGUGCCAGCAGCCGCGGUCAUACGUAGGGGGCCAGCGUUAUCCGGAUUUACUGUGUGUAAAGGGGGCGCAGACGGCGAUGCAAGACAGGAGUGAAAGCCCGGGGCCCAACCCCGGGACUGAUCUUGGAACUGCGUGGCUGGAGUGCAGGAGGGGCAGGCGGAAGUCCUGGUGUAGCGGUGAAAUGCGUAGAUAUCAGGAGGAACACCGGUGGCGAAGGCGGCCUGCUGGACUGCAACUGACGUUGAGGCCCGAAAGCGUGGGGAGCAAACAGGAUUAGAUACCCUUGUAGUC
This 440-nucleotide ribosomal RNA is filed under the name uncultured bacterium. RNAcentral's name for it is "partial 16S ribosomal RNA". It matches the Rfam family "Bacterial small subunit ribosomal RNA", at positions 338 to 795 of the family's 1533-position model. The record is from RNAcentral.